RNAcentral lists this ribosomal RNA (481 nucleotides) under uncultured bacterium. RNAcentral's name for it is "partial 16S ribosomal RNA". It matches the Rfam family "Bacterial small subunit ribosomal RNA", at positions 28 to 507 of the family's 1533-position model. The record is from RNAcentral.
GAUGAACGCUGGCGGCGUGCUUAACACAUGCAAGUCGAACGAAGCACUUUAUUUGAUUUCCUUCGGGACUGAUUAUUUUGUGACUGAGUGGCGGACGGGUGAGUAACGCGUGGGUAACCUGCCUUGUACAGGGGGAUAACAGUUGGCAACGGCUGCUAAUACCGCAUAAGCGCACGGCAUCGCAUGAUCCAGUGUGAAAAAAUCCGGUGGUAUAAGAUGGACCCGCGUUGGAUUAGCUAGUUGGUGAGGUAACGGCCCACCAAGGCGACGAUCCAUAGCCGACCUGAGAGGGUGACCGGCCACAUUGAGACUGAGACACGGCCCAAACUCCUACGGGAAGCAGCAGUGGGGAAUAUUGCACAAUGGGCGAAAGCCUGAUGCAGCGACGCCGCGUGAGCGAAGAAGUAUUUCGGUAUGUAAAGCUCUAUCAGCAGGGAAGAUAAUGACGGUACCUGAAUAAGAAGCACCGGCUAAAUACGUG